This 497-nucleotide ribosomal RNA is filed under the name uncultured bacterium. RNAcentral's name for it is "partial 16S ribosomal RNA". It matches the Rfam family "Bacterial small subunit ribosomal RNA", at positions 28 to 507 of the family's 1533-position model. The record is from RNAcentral.
GAUGAACGCUGGCGGCGUGCCUAAUACAUGCAAGUCGAGCGAACAGACGAGGAGCUUGCUCCUCUGACGUUAGCGGCGGACGGGUGAGUAACACGUGGAUAACCUACCUAUAAGACUGGGAUAACUUCGGGAAACCGGAUCUAAUACCGGAUAAUAUAUUGAACCGCAUGGUUCAAUAGUGAAAUACGGUUUUGCUGUCACUUAUAGAUGGAUCCGCGCCGCAUUAGCUAGUUGGUAAGGUAACGGCUUACCAAGGCAACGAUGCGUAGCCGACCUGAGAGGGUGAUCGGCCACACGGGAACUGAGACACGGUCCAGACUCCUACGGGAGGCAGCAGUAGGGAAUCUUCCGCAAUGGGCGAAAGCUUGACGGAGCAACGCCGCGUGAGUGAUGAAGGUCUUCGGAUCGUAAAACUCUGUUAUUAGGGAAGAACAAAUGUGUAAGUAACUAUGCACGUCUUGACGGUACCUAAUCAGAAAGCCACGGCUAACUACGUG